CCUACGGGAGGCAGCAGUGGGGAAUAUUGCACAAUGGGCGAAAGCCUGACGCAGCGACGCCGCGUGAGGGAUGAAGGUCUUCGGAUCGUAAAGCUCUGUCAGCAGGGAAGAACGGUCACUGUGCUAUUCAGCAGGGAAUUGACGUUACCUGCAAAGGAAGCACCGGCUAACUCCGUGCCAGCAGCCGCGGUAAUACGGAGGGUGCGAGCGUUAAUCGGAAUUACUGGGCGUAAAGCGCUCGUAGGCGGUAUGUCAAGUCAAGUGUGAAAUCCCCGCGCUCAACGUGGGAACUGCCUGUGAAACUGGCAAACUGGAGUGUGUGAGAGGAUAGUGGAAUUCCAGGUGUAGCAGUGAAAUCCGUAGAGAUCUGGAGGAACAUCAGUGGCGAAGGCGACUAUCUGGCACAUAACUGACGCUGAGGAGCGAAAGCGUGGGUAGCAAACAGGAUUAGAUACCCGAGUAGUC
Molecule: ribosomal RNA, 465 nt
Filed under: uncultured bacterium
Lineage: Bacteria
Description: partial 16S ribosomal RNA
Rfam family: Bacterial small subunit ribosomal RNA
Source: RNAcentral